GGGCCUGUGGUGUAAUCUGGAUAGCACUUGGGCCUCCGGAGCCCACGAUCCGGGUUCAAAUCCCGGCAGGCCCG
RNAcentral lists this transfer RNA (74 nucleotides) under Methanobacteriota archaeon. RNAcentral's name for it is "Euryarchaeota archaeon (hot springs metagenome) tRNA-Arg". It matches the Rfam family "tRNA". Rfam says of the family: Transfer RNA (tRNA) molecules are approximately 80 nucleotides in length. Their secondary structure includes four short double-helical elements and three loops (D, anti-codon, and T loops). Further hydrogen bonds mediate the characteristic L-shaped molecular structure. tRNAs have two regions of fundamental functional importance: the anti-codon, which is responsible for specific mRNA codon recognition, and the 3' end, to which the tRNAs corresponding amino acid is attached (by aminoacyl-tRNA synthetases). tRNAs cope with the degeneracy of the genetic code in two manners: having more than one tRNA (with a specific anti-codon) for a particular amino acid; and 'wobble' base-pairing, i.e. permitting non-standard base-pairing at the 3rd anti-codon position. The record is from RNAcentral. Lineage: Archaea; Methanobacteriati; Methanobacteriota.